UNGCCAGCCGCCGCGUGUAACACCGGCAGCCCGANGCGGUGAUCACUAUUAUUGGGUCUAAAGGGUCCGUAGCCGGUUUAAUCAGUCUUCUGGGAAAUCUAAUCGCUUAACUAUUAGGCUUCCAAGGGGAUACUGUUAGACUUGGGACCGGGAGAGGUAAGAGGUACUGCAGGGGUAGGAGUGAAAUCUUGUAAUCCCUGUGAGACCACCAGUGGCGAAGGCGUCUUACCAGAACGGGUCCGACGGUGAGGGACGAAAGCUGGGGGCACGAACCGGAUUAGAUUACCCGGGUAGUCCCAGCUGUAAACGAUGCUCGUUAGGUGUCAGGAACGGUGCGACUGUUUCUGGUGCCGA
Molecule: ribosomal RNA, 354 nt
Filed under: uncultured archaeon
Lineage: Archaea
Description: bacterial SSU rRNA
Rfam family: Archaeal small subunit ribosomal RNA
Source: RNAcentral